RNAcentral lists this ribosomal RNA (305 nucleotides) under uncultured delta proteobacterium. RNAcentral's name for it is "bacterial SSU rRNA". It matches the Rfam family "Bacterial small subunit ribosomal RNA", at positions 464 to 769 of the family's 1533-position model. Lineage: Bacteria; Deltaproteobacteria. The record is from RNAcentral.
CGAUAAUGACGGUACCCGGAGAAGAAGCACCGGCUAACUACGUGCCAGCAGCCGCGGUAAUACGUAGGCUGCAAGCGUUGUUCGGAAUUACUGGGCGUAAAGCGUGUGUAGGCGGUUUUCUAAGUCUGAUGUGAAAUCCCCGGGCUCAACUCGGGAAGUGCAUUGGAAACUGGAAGGCUUGAGUAUGGGAGAGGUAAGUGGAAUUCCUGGUGUAGCGGUGAAAUGCGUAGAUAUCAGGAGGAACACCUGUGGUGAAGGCGGCUUCCUGGACCGAUACUUACGCUGAGACGGGCCAGCGUAAGAGC